RNAcentral lists this long non-coding RNA (1450 nucleotides) under Homo sapiens (human). RNAcentral's name for it is "HSALNT0132371". Lineage: Eukaryota; Metazoa; Chordata; Mammalia; Primates; Hominidae. The record is from RNAcentral.
GUAAGGUACGAUAGUCAUUACCGUAACCACCACGGACUUCCGCUGAGCGCCCGUCUCCGCGAAAGUACUGACCCUGGACCCCCAGUUGCCUGGGUCCACCUGUCGAACCAAACACAAGCCUCUUUUAGGUCUCUUUCACUCAUCUGAGCAGGACUUGGCUACCCAGAAACGCCACCUAACACCCGCAGCUUCGCCCCAUCAUCUGUGACUACCUACUGUGCCCGUGAGACUGUCCAGUCUAUAGACUGCCGCUCAGAGAAGAGCUUCACUCCAAACUCCAGGAGAAACAUCAGUCAAAGAUACCGGUAUACCCGACCUUUUUAAGGGGGGAAGACAGUGCGAAUGUGAGAGGUGUUUCUUCCUCAGAGUAAGAAGCCAUCAGAAGUUAUGCUUCCACACAGCAGAGCUGUUUAAUCGUUCACACUUGGAAAAGACACCGAUACAUAGGGUGGGCAGGAUGGCUGCAGAAACCCCACAGAGCAGGAAUUGGGAGCCACAGUCUGAGCUGAAGAAAGGGCAGAAGGCCUGUCUUACUGUUGCUUGCACAAUGAUAUUCGCCCAAUAUUGAGAAAGUGUCCAUUGUUCAUAUUAAAAAUGGGGAAGGGGGUUGAUACAGACCGCACCUCCCACCCCAAGCAUGCUCCAUCUGCCACUGGAAGGAUGGGAGCUUCAUAAAGCUCUAGAGGACGAGGCAGAGCCUGGGAAACAGACUGCCAGGCCCACCCCACUCAGCAACUUUGAUCAUGUUUCAAACUUAGAGAAAAUUAGCAAAAAUAUAAGUGUAAUAUUGUAUUGUGUCCCAUUCACUUUAUCAGUGUCUCUCUCUAUUUUUCCCACACCAUUCAUGAGUAAGUUGGAGACGUCAAGACACUCUAUCCCUGAAGAUUUCCAUGUAUUUUCUCAGAACAGGGACGCUGUCUUAUAUAACCAUGGCACAACCAUCAAAGUCAGGAAACUGUAUACUAAUAUAAAACUAUGACAGGGAUGCCCAUAGGUCCCUGGUAGAGCUUGAGUCUGUUCAGGGACCAUGUCCUGCAUAAAUGCAUAUCUGUGUUUGAGGCUGUGCUCCACACACCUAGACCACUGCGAACCAAAGGAGCACUCCAAGGUGGAACACAGAUCAAAAUCAUGUCUCAUUUUCCCUUAUUCUUAUUAAUUUGACACAGAAAUCCUGUAGCCCACUAUCCUCCCACCAUUUUCUAAGGUGGCCAGAUAUUUCCACCAUAGAAAUUGAGGCUUUUUUUUUUAGGAUUAGUCUAUAGAUAACCCUUUGUGUGGGCUCUCACAUGCAGUUUUUUAGCCUCUUACAUUUUCUAGACUAUGGGUCCUGUCCCUGCAUCCCACACUCACGUGCACACCACACAUGCACACUCACUCACUCACAUGCCUUGUUUCCUUGUGUUCUUUUGUUGACAAGUUUUCUUCUCCCUCUCCUAAAACAAUUUCCAAA